Molecule: ribosomal RNA, 433 nt
Filed under: uncultured bacterium
Lineage: Bacteria
Description: partial 16S ribosomal RNA
Rfam family: Bacterial small subunit ribosomal RNA
Source: RNAcentral
AACGAACGCUGGCGGCAUGCCUAACACAUGCAAGUCGAGCGCGCCCUUCUGGUUGCACGGCGGACGGGUGGGUAACGCGUGGGAACGUUCCCUUUUCUACGGAAUCGCCUCCGGGAACUGACAGUAAUUCCGUCUACGCCCGUUGGGGGAAAGAUUUAACGGGCAGGGGUCGGCCCGCGUUGGAUUAGGUCGUUGGGGGGGUAAUGGCAUAUCACGCCGACGAGGCAUAGCUGGGUUGAGAGGAUGUUCAGCCACACUGUGAGUGAGACACGGCCCAGACUCCCGCGGGAGGGAGGAGUGGGGAAUCCCAGAAAAGGGGGGAGACUGUGAGAGAGACACGGCGCGGGAGUGAUGAAGGCAUUAGGGGUGUAAAGCUCUUUCAGCUGGGAAGAUAAUGACGGUACCAGCAGAAGAAACACCGGCUAACUCCGUG